GUUCGUGCGAUAGAGACUAGAUCGCUCAGCGUACGAACCGAUGAGAGACUUGCUCUUAGAUUUGGUCAGCGCUGGACCGGUGAGUACACGUGGGCAACCUGCCCGCAAGACCGGGAUAACUCCGGGAACGGAGCUAAUACCGGAUAACACCGAGACCGCAUGGUCUUCGCUGAAGGCGGCCUCUUGCUGUCACUUGCGGAUGGGCCCGCGGCGCAUUAGCUAGUUGGUGAGGUACCGCUCACCCAGGCGACGAUGCGUCAGCGGCCUGAGAGGGUGACCGCCACACC
Molecule: ribosomal RNA, 287 nt
Filed under: Bacillus sp. 76
Lineage: Bacteria; Bacillati; Bacillota; Bacilli; Caryophanales; Bacillaceae
Description: partial 16S ribosomal RNA
Rfam family: Bacterial small subunit ribosomal RNA (bases 74-287)
Source: RNAcentral